This 546-nucleotide long non-coding RNA is filed under the name Hordeum vulgare. RNAcentral's name for it is "long non-coding RNA (HVUL_LNC004069)". The record is from RNAcentral. Lineage: Eukaryota; Viridiplantae; Streptophyta; Magnoliopsida; Poales; Poaceae.
AUGUAACUUUCCUAUAUAUCAAUCUUUACCUUCGGACCAUUAUGGAUCUCCUCGUGACGUCCGGGAUCUCAUCCAGGACUCCGAACAACUUUCGGUGAAAAAUAUACAUAACUUAAUAAUACCGAAACAUCACCGAACCUUAAGUGUGCAGACUCUACGGGUUCGAGAACUAUUCAGACAUGACCUGAGACACUCUUCGGUCAAUGACCAAAAGUGGGACCUGGAUUCCCAUAUUGGCUCCUACAUAUUCUACGAAGAUCUUUAUCGGUUGAACCUCUAUGUUAAGAAUUUAAUUAAUCCCAUAUGUUGUUCCCUUUGUCCUUCGGUAUGUUACUUGCCCGAGAUUCGGUCGUCGGUAUCUUGAUACCUAGUUCAAUCUUGUUACCGGCAAGUCUCUUUACUUAUUCCAUAAUACAAGAUCCCAUGACUAACUCCUUGUCACAUUGCUUGCAAGGCUUGUUGUGAUGUUGUAGUACCGAGUGGGCCCUCAGAUACCUCUCCGUCACACGGAGUGACAAAUCCCGGUCUUGAUUCACGCCAACCCAA